UACCUGCAGCUCAAGUGGUGAUCAUUAUUAUUGGGCCUAAAACGUCCGUAGCCGGUUUAGUAAAUGCCUGGGUAAAUCGUGUAGCUUAACUAUACGACUUCCGGGUAGACUGCUAAACUUGAGACCGGGAGAAGCUAGAGGUACUCCUGGGGUAGAGGUGAAAUUCUGUAAUCCUAGGGGGACCACCAGUGGCGAAGGCGUCUAGCUAGAACGGGCCUGACGGUGAGGGACGAAGCCCUGGGGCACAAACCGGAUUAGAUACCCGGGUAGUCCAGGGUGUAAACGCUGCUUGCUUGAUGUUAGUUGGGCUCCGAGCCCAACUAGUGUCGGAGAGAAGUUGUUAAGCAAGCUGCCUGGGAAGUACGGUCGCAAGGCUGAAACUUAAAGGAAUUGGCGGGGGAGCACAGCAACGGGUGGAGCGUGCGGUUU
RNAcentral lists this ribosomal RNA (429 nucleotides) under uncultured archaeon. Its description in RNAcentral is "bacterial SSU rRNA". It matches the Rfam family "Archaeal small subunit ribosomal RNA", at positions 474 to 903 of the family's 1478-position model. The record is from RNAcentral.